RNAcentral lists this ribosomal RNA (454 nucleotides) under uncultured bacterium. RNAcentral's name for it is "partial 16S ribosomal RNA". It matches the Rfam family "Bacterial small subunit ribosomal RNA", at positions 28 to 507 of the family's 1533-position model. The record is from RNAcentral.
GAUGAACGCUGGCAGAAUGCUUAACACAUGCAAGUCUACUUGAACUUCGGUUUGGGUGGCGGACGGGUGAGUAACGCGUAAAGAACUUGCCUCACAGAUAGGGACAACAUUUGGAAACGAAUGCUAAUACCUGAUAUUAUGAUUUUAGGGCAUCCUAGAAUUAUGAAAGCUAUAUGCACUGUGAGAGAGCUUUGCGUCCCAUUAGCUAGUUGGAGAGGUAACGGCUCACCAAGGCGAUGAUGGGUAGCCGGCCUGAGAGGGUGACCGGCCACAAGGGGACUGAGACACGGCCCUUACUCAUACGGGAGGCAGCAGUGGGGAAUAUUGGGCAAUGGACCAAGAGUCUGAUCAAGGAAUUCUGUGUGUAAGAUGAAGUUUUUCGGAAUGUAAAGUGCUUUCAGUUGGGAAGAAAAAAAUGACGGUACCAACAGAAGAAGUGACGGCUAAAUACGUG